Molecule: ribosomal RNA, 465 nt
Filed under: uncultured bacterium
Lineage: Bacteria
Description: partial 16S ribosomal RNA
Rfam family: Bacterial small subunit ribosomal RNA
Source: RNAcentral
GACGAACGCUGGCGGUGUGCUUAACACAUGCAGGUCGAACGGUAAGGCCCUUUCGGGGGUCCACGAGUGGCGCACGGGUGAGUAACACGUGAGUAACCUGCCCUCAUCUCUGGGAUAACAGUCGGAAACGGUUGCUAAUACUGGAUAUGAGCCUGCAAGGCAUCUUGUGGGUUGGAAAGAUUUUUUGGUUGGGGAUGGACUCGCGGCCUAUCAGCUUGUUGGUGAGGUAGUGGCUCACCAAGGCUUCGACGGGUAGCCGGCCUGAGAGGGCGACCGGCCACAUUGGGACUGAGAUACGGCCCAAACUCCUACGGGAGGCAGCAGUGGGGAAUAUUGCACAAUGGACGGAAGUCUGAUGCAGCAACGCCGCGUGCGGGAUGACGGCCUUCGGGUUGUAAACCGCUUUCAAUUGUGACGAAGCUUUUUGUGACGGUAGCAGUAGAAGAAGCACCGGCUAACUACGUG